This 328-nucleotide ribosomal RNA is filed under the name Anepsiomyia flaviventris. Its description in RNAcentral is "partial 12S ribosomal RNA". The record is from RNAcentral. Lineage: Eukaryota; Metazoa; Arthropoda; Insecta; Diptera; Dolichopodidae.
AAGUAAUGUAUUUUUUAAUAUUAGAGUAGUAUUAGUUAAGAUCUUGAAACUCAAAAAAUUUGGCGGUAUUUUAGUCUAUUCAGAGGAACCUGUAAUAUAAUUGAUAUUCCACGAUGGACCUUACUUAAUUUUGUUAAACAAUUUGUAUACCGUCGUUAUUUGAAGAUUUUAUAAGAAUAAUAAUUUUCAUAAUUUUUUAUUAAAAAAUAAAUCAGAUCAAGGUGCAGUUUAUAAUUAAGUAAUAUAUGGGUUACAAUAAAUUUAUUUAUAUGAAUUAAAUUAUGAAAUUAAUUUAUGAAGGUGGAUUUGAUAGUAAAUUUUUAAAGAU